RNAcentral lists this long non-coding RNA (1869 nucleotides) under Nicotiana tabacum (common tobacco). RNAcentral describes it as "long non-coding RNA (NTAB_LNC019450)". The record is from RNAcentral. Lineage: Eukaryota; Viridiplantae; Streptophyta; Magnoliopsida; Solanales; Solanaceae.
UAUGAGCAUCACCUUCUUCAGCGUUUGAACAGAGCCGGUGACCCCUCCCCAUCGCCGGAAAUUCGAAAACAAACCUCCCUUCACCACCAAAUCUUCAUCUUCACCCUCAACCUAGCAGCUGCAGAAAGAAAACGAAGCAGCAGGGACACUAAGACCUAAGAGGACAGUAGCCAUUUUCUAUGAACCUGGAGCAAACGAGACAUAAGAGAAUUUGAGUUCUCUUAUUCUGAACUAAAAACCUUGGACCGUGCUAAUCUUUUUCGACUUCGUCCUUUCGUUUCAUGGACUGUUUGACAUGUGAAUUUCUAUACUGGAGACGUUGCGUUAAGAUUGAGCACUUCUGAUUCUGGACGUGAGGGGCUGAGGGGUUCAGAGCAAUUUUCAUUGAAGUUGUGCUAUGGAAGCCACCGAUUUGAGGUUCCGUCCGCAUCUUGUCGCGAUUUUUGCUUCUGAAAAUUGUUAUUUGGAUUUUUCGUACAUCGGCUCAUAGUUGUCCCUUAAUAGAGGUUCCUUCUCUCCUUUCAAUUAUUCUGUUUCUUGAUUUCAUGAUAUUUACUAGAAUUUGGUCUAUAUUAAUGAAUGUUUAAUUUAAAAUGAUACUCUUGUUAUUAUGUGGUUGCAAGUAUGAUAAAAUAAAGGAGUUAUUUCCUUUUGUGAUUGAUUUGUAUUACUGUUAACUAUUUUGGAAUGGAUAUUUAGCUUAGCAAGUGCAUUUCUGGAGAACGGAUUAGUUGAAGAAUAAUUGAGUGCACCUUUUAAGUUAGAAAUAAAUAAUGUGAUUGUUAUCUGAAAGGGCUAAUGGAUUAGUGUUAUAAGCCUAAUUAGGAAUAACCCUUUUAAUUGUAUUGAGGUGUGCCAUCCUAAUUAAAUCCUUUAUGGCCCUCUUAUUAAUCUUAUAAAUUAGAUACUAAAAUAAAUUUCGUAGUUUGCUUUAGGUGCGUUAAUUAAAUAAAGUAUCAUAGCUACGAGUACGGUUCCCGUGACGUAGUUGUGAUACACGAUUCUAAAAUCCGGGUGUGCAUUUCAUGUGACCUGAUUCUAAUUUCUAACAAGGUUAAAUAGAAUGUGUCAUGAACCACGGGUGCAUUUCAUGUAGCGUGACUUGAGAUAUGUUUUAAAUAACCUUGAAUUAAUUCCUUAAAUAAAUAAUAGAGUUUUAAAAGUUAAAAAUGCGCAUAGGUUUAAAGUUUUUUUAAAAUCAAAUAAAUAGGCCAAUAAUAACAGUUGAGCGACCGUGCUACAACCACGGAAUCCGGGAAUGCCUAACACCUUCUCCCGAGUUAAAAGAAUUCCUUACCUGGAUUUUUGUAUUCCCGGACUGUGAAACAGAGUCAAUAUUCCUCGAUUCGGGAUUUUAAACCGGUGACUUGGGACACCAUUAAUUAUCCCAAGUGGCAACUCUGAAUAAACAUAAAUAAUCUUGUUUUGAUUGUCACUUAAAUUGGAAAAAACUCCCUUAUACCCUUCCAGGGGUAGUAAAAAGGAUGUGUGACACAUAUAUUUUAGCAUGUCACUUAUACCAGUCCAGGAGUAUGACAUUUUGAUUUUCAUUGAUCAUGUACAUGUAUUCCUGUAUAUAUGCUUUCUGCCUGAUAUGGUUUGGACAGGUGGCCUAUGACCAUGCCAGGCGAAAUAUGAAAUUAAGCAUGUGAUCGCAUGGGGUAGAUUAUGAUAUUGAGCAUGUGACCAUAUCAGACGGAUUGUGAUAUUGAGCCAGUGACCACGUCGGACAAAUUUUGCUAUUAAGCCUAUGACCACGUCGAAAGGAUGAUGAUUAUUUGCACGUGACUACAUCAUGAAGCAUUUGGAUAUGGAUCUAUCCUCCUAAAGUCACCCUCUCAUAUUUCUUCUUGAUGGUGUACAUGCGGA